UACGGAGGGUGCAAGCGUUGUCCGGAUUUAUUGGGUUUAAAGGGUGCGUAGGCGGCUUAUUAAGUCAGGGGUGAAAGACGGUGGCUCAACCAUCGCAGUGCCUUUGAUACUGAUGAGCUUGAAUACACUUGAGGUAGGCGGAAUGUGACAAGUAGCGGUGAAAUGCAUAGAUAUGUCACAGAACACCAAUUGCGAAGGCAGCUUACUAAAGUGUGAUUGACGCUGAGGCACGAAAGCGUGGGGAUCAAAC
This 250-nucleotide ribosomal RNA is filed under the name uncultured bacterium. Its description in RNAcentral is "partial 16S ribosomal RNA". It matches the Rfam family "Bacterial small subunit ribosomal RNA", at positions 524 to 773 of the family's 1533-position model. The record is from RNAcentral.